RNAcentral lists this ribosomal RNA (646 nucleotides) under fungal endophyte. RNAcentral's name for it is "eukaryotic LSU rRNA". The stretch from base 191 to 344 matches the Rfam family "5.8S ribosomal RNA". Lineage: Eukaryota; Fungi. The record is from RNAcentral.
CGGAGGGAUCAUUAAAGAGUUCUAUAACUCCCAAACCCAUGUGAACAUACCUAACGUUGCCUCGGCAGGUCGCACCUACCUUGUAGCACCCUACCCUGUAGGGCCUACCCGGGAGGUGCGGGUAAGCCUGCCGGCGGCCCACCAAACUCUGUUUGAUAUUGAAUUCUGAACCUAUAACUAAAUAAGUUAAAACUUUCAACAACGGAUCUCUUGGUUCUGGCAUCGAUGAAGAACGCAGCGAAAUGCGAUAAGUAAUGUGAAUUGCAGAAUUCAGUGAAUCAUCGAAUCUUUGAACGCAUAUUGCGCCCAUUAGUAUUCUAGUGGGCAGGACCGUUCGAGCGUCAUUUCAACCCUUAAGCCUUCGUUGCUUAGUGUUGGGAGCCUACGGCAACGUAGCUCCUCAAAGUUAGUGGCGGAGUUGGUUCACACUCUAGACGUAGUAAUUUUUUAUCUCGCCUAUUAGUUGGACUAAUCCCCUGCCGUAAAACCCCCAAUUUAUCAAGGUUGACCUCGAAUCGGUUCAGACAAACUCGCUAAAUUGAAGCAUCUUAGUCAGCGAAGGAAAAGAAACCAACAGGGAUUGCCCUAGUAACGGCGAGUGAAGCGGCAACAGCUCAAAUUUGAAAUCUGGCCCUCGGGUCCGAGU